RNAcentral lists this ribosomal RNA (484 nucleotides) under uncultured bacterium. RNAcentral's name for it is "partial 16S ribosomal RNA". It matches the Rfam family "Bacterial small subunit ribosomal RNA", at positions 29 to 507 of the family's 1533-position model. The record is from RNAcentral.
AUUGAACGCUGGCGGCAUGCUUUACACAUGCAAGUCGAACGGCAGCGCGGGCUUCGGCCUGGCGGCGAGUGGCGAACGGGUGAGUAAUACAUCGGAACGUGCCCAGUAGUGGGGGAUAGCUCGGCGAAAGCCGGAUUAAUACCGCAUACGACCUGAGGGCGAAAGCGGGGGAUCUUCGGACCUCGCGCUAUUGGAGCGGCCGAUGGCAGAUUAGCUAGUUGGUGGGGUAAAGGCCUACCAAGGCGACGAUCUGUAGCUGGUCUGAGAGGACGACCAGCCACACUGGGACUGAGACACGGCCCAGACUCCUACGGGAGGCAGCAGUGGGGAAUUUUGGACAAAGGGCGAAAGCCUGAUCCAGCAAUGCCGCGUGUGUGAUGAAGGCCUUCGGGUUGUAAAGCACUUUUGGCGGGAACGAAAAGGACUGUGCCAAUACCACGGUUCGAUGACGGUACCCGCAGAAUAAGCACCGGCUAACUACGUG